This is a long non-coding RNA of Sapajus apella (tufted capuchin), 187 nucleotides long. RefSeq lists it as uncharacterized. The transcript is spliced from 3 exons. The record is from RefSeq and is a predicted model, not a curated record. Lineage: Eukaryota; Metazoa; Chordata; Mammalia; Primates; Cebidae.
CCAGCAGCUACAUAAGAUGUGCCUCUUCCCCUUUUGCCAUGACUAUAAGUUUCCUGAGGCUUCUCCAGCCCUGUGGAACUGUGAGUUAAUUAAACCUCCUUUCUUUAGAAAUAAUCCAGUCUUGGGUAUGCUUUAUAGCAGUGUGAAGACAGACUAAUACAGAUGUUACUAAUAUAAUUGUUUAGGG